RNAcentral lists this ribosomal RNA (375 nucleotides) under uncultured bacterium. Its description in RNAcentral is "bacterial SSU rRNA". It matches the Rfam family "Bacterial small subunit ribosomal RNA", at positions 523 to 898 of the family's 1533-position model. The record is from RNAcentral.
AUACGAAGGGGGCUAGCGUUGUUCGGAAUUACUGGGCGUAAAGCGCACGUAGGCGGACAUUUAAGUCAGGGGUGAAAUCCCGGGGCUCAACCCCGGAACUGCCUUUGAUACUGGGUGUCUGGAGUUCGAGAGAGGUGAGUGGAAUUCCGAGUGUAGAGGUGAAAUUCGUAGAUAUUCGGAGGAACACCAGUGGCGAAGGCGGCUCACUGGCUCGAUACUGACGCUGAGGUGCGAAAGCGUGGGAAGCAAACAGGAUUAGAUACCCUGGUAGUCCACGCCGUAAACUAUGGAUGCUAGCCGUCGGGCAGCUUGCUGUUCGGUGGCGCAGCUAACGCAUUAAGCAUCCCGCCUGGGGAGUACGGUCGCAAGAUUAAA